This 25-nucleotide ribosomal RNA is filed under the name Ramaria sp. 6 AK-2012. RNAcentral's name for it is "partial 18S ribosomal RNA". Lineage: Eukaryota; Fungi; Basidiomycota; Agaricomycetes; Gomphales; Gomphaceae. The record is from RNAcentral.
CCUUUAGCGACUGCGGACGACAUUA